GCUGGGUGUGGUGGCGUAUGCCUGUAAUCCCAGUGUCUUGGGAGGCUGAGGCAGGAGGAUCAUGAGUUUAAAGCCAAGCCUCAGCAAUAAGCACUAAGCAACUUAGUGAGACCCUGUCUCUA
Molecule: small RNA, 122 nt
Filed under: Marmota monax (woodchuck)
Lineage: Eukaryota; Metazoa; Chordata; Mammalia; Rodentia; Sciuridae
Source: RNAcentral